This 465-nucleotide ribosomal RNA is filed under the name Vreelandella stevensii. RNAcentral describes it as "partial 16S ribosomal RNA". It matches the Rfam family "Bacterial small subunit ribosomal RNA", at positions 338 to 795 of the family's 1533-position model. The record is from RNAcentral. Lineage: Bacteria; Pseudomonadati; Pseudomonadota; Gammaproteobacteria; Oceanospirillales; Halomonadaceae.
CCUACGGGUGGCUGCAGUGGGGAAUAUUGGACAAUGGGGGGAACCCUGAUCCAGCCAUGCCGCGUGUGUGAAGAAGGCCCUCGGGUUGUAAAGCACUUUCAGUGAGGAAGAACGCCUGGUGGUUAAUACCCAUCAGGAAAGACAUCACUCACAGAAGAAGCACCGGCUAACUCCGUGCCAGCAGCCGCGGUAAUACGGAGGGUGCGAGCGUUAAUCGGAAUUACUGGGCGUAAAGCGCGCGUAGGUGGCUUGAUAAGCCGGUUGUGAAAGCCCCGGGCUCAACCUGGGAACGGCAUCCGGAACUGUCCAGCUAGAGUGCAGGAGAGGAAGGUAGAAUUCCCGGUGUAGCGGUGAAAUGCGUAGAGAUCGGGAGGAAUACCAGUGGCGAAGGCGGCCUUCUGGACUGACACUGACACUGAGGUGCGAAAGCGUGGGUAGCAAACAGGAUUAGAUACCCUUGUAGUC